CAUCAAACAGGUUUGGAUCAUCCUUGUCCUGAGAUAUUUAUGUAAUGAUAAUGGUAGUAAAAAUUGCAAACUCAUAUUUUUCAUUUAUGCUUGUAGGUAUUGGGACUACUGUUAAUGCUGUCAAACCAAAACUUGGUUCUUCUGCUGCCAUCUUUGGACUUGGAGCUGUUGGCCUUCUUGCUGUUGAAGAGGCAAUGAUUUAUACUGCAUGAAUAAUUAUUGGGUUUGAUUUAGUUUCCAUUGGAAAAUCUUGGACUCAGUUGUUGAAGGUCUUGGGACUACUGUUAAUGCUACC
This is a non-coding RNA of Cajanus cajan (pigeon pea), 295 nucleotides long. The record is from RefSeq and is a predicted model, not a curated record. NCBI's taxonomy places the organism in Eukaryota, Viridiplantae, Streptophyta, Magnoliopsida, Fabales, Fabaceae.